GAAAGGCAGUGGAAACUGAAAAGCUAGAGGUCGGUAGGGGCAGAGGGAAUUCCCAGUGUAGCGGUGAAAUGCGUAGAUAUUGGGAAGAACACCGGUGGCGAAAGCGCUCUGCUGGGCCGAACCUGACGCUGAGGGACGAAAGCUAGGGGAGCGAAUGGGAUUAGAUACCCCAGUAGUCCUAGCCGUAAACGAUGGAGACUAGGUGUUGCCUGUAUCGACCCGGGCAGUGCCGAAGCCAACGCGUUAAGUCUCCCGCCUGGGGAGUACGCACGCAAGUGUGAAACUCAAAGGAAUUGACGGGGGCCCGCACAAGCGGUGGAGUAUGUGGUUUAAUUCGAUGCAACGCGAAGAACCUUACCAGGGCUUGACAUCCCGCGAAUCUCGGCGAAAGUUGAGAGUGCCUACGGGAACGCGGAGACAGGUGGUGCAUGGCUGUCGUCAGCUCGUGUCGUGAGAUGUUGGGUU
Molecule: ribosomal RNA, 465 nt
Filed under: Baaleninema simplex PCC 7105
Lineage: Bacteria; Bacillati; Cyanobacteriota; Cyanophyceae; Oscillatoriales; Oscillatoriaceae
Description: bacterial SSU rRNA
Rfam family: Bacterial small subunit ribosomal RNA
Source: RNAcentral